RNAcentral lists this ribosomal RNA (430 nucleotides) under uncultured bacterium. RNAcentral's name for it is "bacterial SSU rRNA". It matches the Rfam family "Bacterial small subunit ribosomal RNA", at positions 355 to 776 of the family's 1533-position model. The record is from RNAcentral.
UGGGGAAUAUUGGACAAUGGGCGCAAGCCUGAUCCAGCCACGCCGCGUGAGUGAUGAAGGCCUUCGGGUCGUAAAGCUCUGUGGGGGAUGACGAAUGCGAUGGGUGUUAACAGCGCCUGUCCCUGACGGUAAUCCCUUAGCAAGCACCGGCUAACUCCGUGCCAGCAGCCGCGGUAAUACGGAGGGUGCAAACGUUGCUCGGAAUCAUUGGGCGUAAAGCGUGUGUAGGCGGUCCGAUUAGUCGGAUGUGAAAUCCCUCGGCUCAACCGAGGAAGUGCAUCCGAAACGGUCGGACUUGAGUACCGGAGAGGAUGACGGAAUUCCCGGUGUAGUGGUGAAAUACGUAGAUAUCGGGAGGAACACCGGUGGCGAAGGCGGUCAUCUGGACGGAUACUGACGCUGAGACACGAAAGCGUGGGGAGCAAACAGG